ACUCCUACGGGAGGCAGCAGUGGGGAAUAUUGGACAAUGGGCGAAAGCCUGAUCCAGCAAUGCCGCGUGUGUGAAGAAGGCCUGCGGGUUGUAAAGCACUUUCAGCAGGGAAGAACAGCAUAGGGAUAAUACCCCUAUGUCCUGACGUCACCUGAAGAAGAAGCACCGGCUAACUCCGUGCCAGCAGCCGCGGUAAUACGGAGGGUGCGAGCGUUAAUCGGAAUUACUGGGCGUAAAGCGUACGUAGGUGGCUUGAUAAGUCGAAUGUGAAAGCCCUGGGCUUAACCUGGGAACUGCAUCCGAAACUGUCUGGCUAGAGUAAGGGAGAGGGAAGCGGAAUUUCCGGUGUAGCGGUGAAAUGCGUAGAUAUCGGAAGGAACACCAGUGGCGAAGGCGGCUUCCUGGCCCAUUACUGACACUGAGGUACGAAAGCGUGGGGAGCAAACAGGAUUAGAAACCCCAGUAGUCC
Molecule: ribosomal RNA, 469 nt
Filed under: uncultured bacterium
Lineage: Bacteria
Description: bacterial SSU rRNA
Rfam family: Bacterial small subunit ribosomal RNA
Source: RNAcentral